GAUGAACGCUGGCGGCGUGCCUAACACAUGCAAGUCGAGCGAUCUUCUUCGGAAGAGAGCGGCGGACGGGUGAGUAACGCGUGGGUAACCUGCCCUGUACACACGGAUAACAUACCGAAAGGUAUGCUAAUACGAGAUAAUAUACUUUUAUCGCAUGGUAGAAGUAUCAAAGCUCCGGCGGUACAGGAUGGACCCGCGUCUGAUUAGCUAGUUGGUAAGGUAACGGCUUACCAAGGCGACGAUCAGUAGCCGACCUGAGAGGGUGAUCGGCCACAUUGGAACUGAGACACGGUCCAAACUCCUACGGGAGGCAGCAGUGGGGAAUAUUGAACAAUGGGCGAGAGCCUGAUGCAGCAACGCCGCGUGAGCGAUGAAGGCCUUUGGGUCGUAAAGCUCUGUCCUUGGGGAAGAAAAAAAUGACGGUACCCUUGGAGGAAGCCCCGGCUAACUACGUGCCAGCCGCCGCCGUAA
RNAcentral lists this ribosomal RNA (471 nucleotides) under uncultured bacterium. RNAcentral's name for it is "partial 16S ribosomal RNA". It matches the Rfam family "Bacterial small subunit ribosomal RNA", at positions 28 to 523 of the family's 1533-position model. The record is from RNAcentral.